CUGGCCUACAUACAGCCCCCUAAAGGCCUCAUCCCGAAGCUCCAGGCCAUCCUCAUGAUUUUUUUUUUUGGGACAAGCUGCACUGGGUCCCUCAGUGUGCACUAUUUUUACCAAAAGAAGAGGGGGGGGUAAGGGCUGGUGCACAUCGACAGCAGGGUGACCACAUUUAGGGUCCAGUUAUUACAGAGGUACCUCACAGGGCCAACAGACGUGAUGUGGAGAGAGCUGACUGACUGCAUUCUGAGGCAGGCAGCUGGCCUGGGACUAGACACUGCACUUGUUUUCAUGGAUUUUAACCUUUUUAAACUGUGGGCUGUCUCCUUUUAACCAGUCACUUUUUAAAGCUUGGACUUGUUUUGAGUGGAAGAGACCAGGACCGGCGUGCUCCCUACACUGGCUGCUGCAAGAACCACUGGUGUACGAAGCCAGGCUGGACAUCCAGGACGACUCAACACCAGGCCUGACCAGCAGGCUGCGCUCCGCCAGAGUCACGACCCUGGGGAGACUGGUGGAAGUGGCCGGCCCUGGGCUGUGGGACUCGUCUGCGGUGGCUUCUCGACUCGGGCUGACAUCAAUCCGCCAGGUCUCGAGGUUCCUGAGGAGCUGGGCGGAGAGGCUGACGGAAGACGAGGUGGAGAUGCUGCAGGAGUACGGCAGGGGAGAGGAGGCUCCCGACGCGACGGACCCCUUUCCGGAUCUAGGAUGUGUUCCGAGGCUGAGCGGGGUCUCGGGACCACUGUUCAGAGAAGCCGAUCGAAAGCUGUUGGACUUCAACAUGAUGAAAGGAAAAGGCGGAUGGCAUCCAGUGAACGGUGCAUUUCCGCCACCUACUGGAGUGGAGUGUGGACCAGAGUACCCUAUCCCCUUACAAAACCAAACCUAACAAAAUACCCACAAAACGAAAUGAAUAAAACAAAUGAAACAAAAGGGAGAUUAAAAAAUGUCAGUGCUUUAAAUUCUACUGCUUAAUCCUGUUUCUUUCAAAUAUUGUAAUACUUGUCCUGCCCCCAAUUUUAACGCAUCUGUUAGAUUUAGUUCCUCCACUCCCAGCUUCCUCAACAUGUGUCGCUCAAGUGUGUAUUUCUGACAAUGACAAAUUAUAUGUUCUACAGAUUCUGGGACUUGACAGUGCUCACAUAGUCCUGUUGGGUGUUUAUUUACUAGAUGCAUUGUUUUGUUCAGCCUUGUGUGCCCAAUCCUCAGUCUGGUUACUAUAUGUUCUUCUGCGGUGCUUCUUCUAGCUGGCCUCCCUUUGCCAACUUCCCUCUGCACAGCAUACAGACGUCUUCCUGUUUCCCCUACAUCCCAACUAUGCUGCCAUUCCUUAAUGUUUCUUUUGAUAAUUGUUUUAACUUCUGCUUUGCUGUGUAAAAUGUCCAUCUUGUGCUGCCUUUCUAACGCUUGUUUUGCUAGUGUAUCUGCUCUUUCGUUUCCUUGCACCCCCCUGUGUGCUGGUAUCCACAUAAAUGCUCCGACAAUACCCAUAUUUUUUAAACGGAACAGUGUUUCAUAUAUUUCAUUAAUUAAAUCCUGCCUGCUAUGUGAAGUGAAUGAUUGUAAUGACUCUUGAGGAUAGUGUUGAACUAGAAUCUGAACAGACAAUGACUUUUUCGACCCGAACCUCCUCUACCCACUGCAGUGCUGUUAAAAUGGCCAACGUCUCCACUGUAUACACAGACAGAUGCUCUGAGGUUCUCUUUUUAACUUCAUAUCUUAAGGACGGUAUGGUGACUGCAAACCCAGUUCUCCCUGUAUCAGGGUCUUUUGAUCCCUCUGUAAAUGCUGGAAUAAAUGAUAAGUAUGUCGUC
Pseudoliparis swirei is the source of this 1808-nucleotide long non-coding RNA. RefSeq lists it as uncharacterized. The record is from RefSeq and is a predicted model, not a curated record. The transcript has 2 exons. Lineage: Eukaryota; Metazoa; Chordata; Actinopteri; Perciformes; Liparidae.